AGAUUUCAUGGCCUCUAGAGAAUAACUAAGGGUGGGCGGAGUUAGAUGUUUUGCCCCAGUUCUGUUCACAGGAGGCCCAGGCCUGCCCAGCAGAUUCUUUAAACUUCUGAUGGAAUCCAUCAAAAAGAAGAAUAAUAAAGCAUCAACCUUCAGGAACGUAAACACUCGAAGAGCUACGCAGCGGGAUCUGGACAACACUGGGGAGUUGGGGAGGAGUCGGGGAGAGCAGGAGGGUGAUGAGGAAGAGGAGGGGCACAUUGUGGAUGCUGAAGCUGAGGAGGGGGACGCCGAUGCCUCUGAUGCCAAACGCAAGGAGAAGCAGGAGGAGGAGGUUGAUUAUGAGAGCGAGGAAGAGGAGGAGAGGGAGGGCGAGGAGAACGACGAUGAAGACAUGGAGGAGGAACGAAAUCCCCACAGGGAAGGUGCUCGAAAGACCCAAGAGCAAGACGAAGAGGUGGGCUUAGGCACUGAGGAGGACCCGUCCCUUCCCGCCCUCCUGACGCAGCCCCGGAAACCCACCCACAGCCAGGAGCCCCAGGGGCCCGA
Molecule: small RNA, 546 nt
Filed under: Pan troglodytes (chimpanzee)
Lineage: Eukaryota; Metazoa; Chordata; Mammalia; Primates; Hominidae
Description: processed transcript
Source: RNAcentral